Molecule: long non-coding RNA, 3088 nt
Organism: Oncorhynchus tshawytscha (Chinook salmon)
Lineage: Eukaryota; Metazoa; Chordata; Actinopteri; Salmoniformes; Salmonidae
Source: Ensembl
GCCCCACUGUCUGAUUCAUAUCGCUUGAUUUCUGAUUAUAUCGACUGAUUGCUGUUAUUGUACAGGGUGCACCAUUCUAUUCAUGAGCACGAAAAAAAAACGAGCAGGCUAUUUCUGGUUAGGCUACGUUUCAAAGAUAAUGAAAGUGAAAGGGUGUUGUCUAACAUAGGCUAGAUAGGUUAACCUACACGACAUAUUGUUCUGCAGUCCCUAUACGUUUUCUUCAAGCAUGGAUAAAUUGAGAAAGAUAAGGAUAGUUCUGACAGAAAUCUUGUCAGCGGAAGCCAGUUACAUCCUUCAGCAUGUAAACCAGGAGGACCUGGUGACUCCACGCGAAUACAGGAGCCUGCACAAUGUCAGUAAAAUACAUCCAGAAGAUUCCAUUGUCAGUCUGCUGGAUUCACUCCUAAUGAAAGGAGGAGAUGAGAGAUGCACUAGAUUCCUGACCCUGUUGCAGGAGCCAGUCAUCAGAUCAACCUACCCCAAACUGGAAGAAAUCAAACACAUCGACAUAGCUCCGGCACCCAGUAGCCCAGCACCCCCAGACGCUGUCCGAACCUCUGCCUCCUCCACAGUCCACACCUGUCGCCCAACCACAUCAGGUUCAAGCAUUUCAACUACUCCUGUGAAAAAUAAUAACCGGAGAAGUACCACUGCGUGUGGAACCAUCACAGACGUUUCUGAAGUGAAGAUGGGGAAGGCGGGGGGGAAAUACUACCAAGCUGUUCUAAACCAAGAGGAUGGGCCCAUGGUCAUUCUCAUUUUGGAUCUAGAGAAACGAAAUAACUUUCUAGGAGCAGAGAAGAGAAGGUCUUCUGUAAAGUUGAAGAGAAUCUCAUUCGAGAAACUUGGAAUAAACAAGUACCAAGAGGGGAUAAAGUUCACAAACAAAUCCAAAUUGACUUACACAAGAGCCAAAAACACUAUAAAGAUGGAACCCACUGCUGAUGAAAAAGAAUAAACACAUUUUUUUUUAAACUAGAAUGACAUUUUAAGGAUGACCUACUGACCAGACCAGAGGCAAUUCAUUAACUACCUAGCCUACAUUAUGUAAAUACAGUGCCUUCAGAAAGUAUUCACAUCGCUUAACUUUUUCCACAUUUAGUUGUAUUACAAGGUGGGAUUAAAAUUGAUUUGUCAUUUUUUGUCAGUGACCUACACACAAUCCUCUGUAGUGUCAAAGUGGAAGAAAAAUUCGAACUUUUGUAAAAAAAAAAAAAACAUGAAAAAUACAACAUUAAUAUAUCUUGAUUGCAUAAGUAUUCAACCCCCUGAAUAAAUUGGGGUUAUGUUAUGUUAAUAAUUUCUGGCAACAAUUACAGCUGUGAGUUUUUGGGUAAAUCUCUUAAGAGCUUUGCACACCUGGAUAAUACAAUAUUUGCACGUUAUUCUUAUUUUAAUUCUUUAAGCUCUGUCAAGUUGUUUGUUGAUCGUUGCUAGACAGCCAUUUUCAUGUCUGCCAUAGGUUUUAAGCCAAUUUAAGUCAAAACUAUAACUAGCCAACUCAGGAACAUUCAAGGUCGUCUUGGUAAGCUACUCCAGUGUAUAUUUUACAUUGUGUUUUAGGUUAGUGUCCUGCUGAAAGGUGAAUUUGUCUCUGAGUCUUAUGGAAAGCAGAUCGAACAAGCUUUUCCUCUAGGAUUUUGCCUGUGCUUAGCUCUAUUCCGUUUCUUUUUAUCCAAAAAAACCCUCCUUAGUCCUUGCCCAAUGACAAGCAUACCCACAACAUGAUGCAGCCACCACCAUGCUUGAAAAUAUUAAGACUGGUACUCAAUGAUGUGUUGUGUUAGAUUUGCUGCGAACAUAACACUUUAUAUUUAGGACAUAAAGUUAAUUUCUUUUCCACAUUUUUUUCAGUUUUACUUUGGUGCUUUAUUGCAAACAGGAUGCAUGUUUUAGCUUGUACAAAAUAAAAUAUUCUUUCUUCUUUUCACUCUGUAAUUUAGGUUAUUAUUGUGGAGUAACUACAAUGUUGUUGAUCCAUCCUCAGUUUUCGCCUAUCACGGUCAUUAAACUCUGUAACUGUUUCAAAGUCCCUGAGUGGUUUCCUUCCUCUCCGGCAACUGAGUUAGGAAGGAUGCCUGUAUUUUUGUAGUGACUGGGUGUAUUGAUUCACCAUCCAAACUGUAAUGAAUAACUUUACCAUACUAAAAGGUAUAUUCAAUAUCUGUCUUUAGGGAUAUUCAAUAUCUGUCUUUCACAUUUUUACCAAUCUACCAAUAGGUGCCUUUCUUUGCGAGGCAUUGGAAAACCUCCAACUUAUUAUGUGACUUGUUUACUUCUGAACUUAUUUAGGCUUGCCAUAACAAAUACUUAUUGACUCAAGACAUUUCAGCUUUUCAUUUUUUAUUAAUUUGCAAAAAUUUUGAACAUUUUGAGAAAAACAUUAUUCCACUUUGACAUUAUGGGGUAUUAUGUGUCGACCAAUGAUACAACAUCUCAAUUUAAUCAAUUUUAAAGGCUGUAGCACAACAAAAUAAAGAAAAAGUCAAGGGGUGUGAAUACUUUUUGAAGGCACUGUAUAUAUUUGUGUAUUUCAAGUAGCCAUUAGAGUUCCACACUUCCCUUAGGGCUUAGAACUCUACAAUGAUGAUACCAAUCACCAUAUCAAACCACUUGCCUAAUAAUGUGUAGCCCACUGCAGCUCAAAGAAAAUUGAGUAGUUACAGGUCAACUGUGUAUUAGCAUAUUGUUUGUGAAAUAAUUGUCACAACACAGAAUAACUAUUCCAACACAGUAGUAGCCUACUGUUUUUACAAAAUCACUAUUGGACUAGUGCUGAAUGCUCAUAGGCAGUUUUUGAAAAUGUCUUUAAUUUCUUCUCUUUUACCACAAGAUGGUACCACAAGAUGGGUGUUGAAAGUUACAUUUAAUGGCUGAACCACUUCACCUGCUGUGGACACUGUUCAAUAUUUGUUUUACUGUAACACCAGUUGGUUCAGCAUUAAUCUAAUUUACCAUUCUAAGGUACUAUGAGAAGUUCUAAGUUUCUCUUUUUGUUAUGGAUCCUUUUUUUUACGCAUUGUAUUUUCUCUACGUAAUGCACAUUUCUGUGAACAACAGACCAUAAAGUAAUAUCUCAUCUAAA